Molecule: long non-coding RNA, 101 nt
Organism: Etheostoma cragini (Arkansas darter)
Lineage: Eukaryota; Metazoa; Chordata; Actinopteri; Perciformes; Percidae
Exons: 4
Source: RefSeq, a predicted model, not a curated record
UUUCAUCCACAGUUUUGCCGAACGGAUACGGAAAAAGUUGAAUCUAUCAACUAGCUCUGCUACCUUCUUCGUUGCUCUGCCGGGUGGUAGCGCUAUCCUAC